GAUGAACGCUGGCGGCGUGCCUAAUACAUGCAAGUCGAGCGAACGGACGAGAAGCUUGCUUUUCUGAUGUUAGCGGCGGACGGGUGAGUAACACGUGGAUAACCUACCUAUAAGACUGGGAUAACUUCGGGAAACCGGAGCUAAUACCGGAUAAUAUUUUGAACCGCAUGGUUCAAAAGUGAAAGACGGUCUUGCUGUCACUUAUAGAUGGAUCCGCGCUGCAUUAGCUAGUUGGUAAGGUAACGGCUUACCAAGGCAACGAUGCAUAGCCGACCUGAGAGGGUGAUCGGCCACACUGGAACUGAGACACGGCCCAGACUCCUACGGGAGGCAGCAGUAGGGAAUCUUGCGCAAUGGGCGAAAGCCUGACGGAGCAACGCCGCGUGAGUGAUGAAGGUCUUCGGAUCGUAAAACUCUGUUAUUAGGGAAGAACAUAUGUGUAAGUAACUGUGCACAUCUUGACGGUACCUAAUCAGAAAGCCACGGCUAACUACGUG
Molecule: ribosomal RNA, 497 nt
Filed under: uncultured bacterium
Lineage: Bacteria
Description: partial 16S ribosomal RNA
Rfam family: Bacterial small subunit ribosomal RNA
Source: RNAcentral